Molecule: ribosomal RNA, 947 nt
Filed under: Pseudomonas sp. LQY-1
Lineage: Bacteria; Pseudomonadati; Pseudomonadota; Gammaproteobacteria; Pseudomonadales; Pseudomonadaceae
Description: bacterial SSU rRNA
Rfam family: Bacterial small subunit ribosomal RNA
Source: RNAcentral
CGUCGUAGCGGAUGAAGGGAGCUUGCUCCCGGAUUCAGCGGCGGACGGGUGAGUAAUGCCUAGGAAUCUGCCUGGUAGUGGGGGACAACGUUCCGAAAGGAGCGCUAAUACCGCAUACGUCCUACGGGAGAAAGUGGGGGAUCUUCGGACCUCACGCUAUCAGAUGAGCCUAGGUCGGAUUAGCUAGUAGGUGGGGUAAUGGCUCACCUAGGCGACGAUCCGUAACUGGUCUGAGAGGAUGAUCAGUCACACUGGAACUGAGACACGGUCCAGACUCCUACGGGAGGCAGCAGUGGGGAAUAUUGGACAAUGGGCGAAAGCCUGAUCCAGCCAUGCCGCGUGUGUGAAGAAGGUCUUCGGAUUGUAAAGCACUUUAAGUUGGGAGGAAGGGCAGUAAGUUAAUACCUUGCUGUUUUGACGUUACCAACAGAAUAAGCACCGGCUAACUUCGUGCCAGCAGCCGCGGUAAUACGAAGGGUGCAAGCGUUAAUCGGAAUUACUGGGCGUAAAGCGCGCGUAGGUGGUUUGGUAAGAUGGAUGUGAAAUCCCCGGGCUCAACCUGGGAACUGCAUCCAUAACUGCCUGACUAGAGUACGGUAGAGGGUGGUGGAAUUUCCUGUGUAGCGGUGAAAUGCGUAGAUAUAGGAAGGAACACCAGUGGCGAAGGCGACCACCUGGACUGAUACUGACACUGAGGUGCGAAAGCGUGGGGAGCAAACAGGAUUAGAUACCCUGGUAGUCCACGCCGUAAACGAUGUCGACUAGCCGUUGGGAUCCUUGAGAUCUUAUUGGCGCAGCUAACGCGAUAAGUCGACCGCCUGGGGAGUACGGCCGCAGUUAAAACUCAAAUGAAUUGACGGGGGCCCGCACAGCGUGAGCAUGUGCUCAUUCGAGCAACGCGAAAACUUUACCUGGUCUUGACAUGUCCGGAAUCUUGAAGAGAUUCG